RNAcentral lists this ribosomal RNA (468 nucleotides) under uncultured bacterium. RNAcentral describes it as "partial 16S ribosomal RNA". It matches the Rfam family "Bacterial small subunit ribosomal RNA", at positions 28 to 507 of the family's 1533-position model. The record is from RNAcentral.
GACGAACGCUGGCGGCGUGCUUAACACAUGCAAGUCGAACGGAAAGGCCCUGCUUUUGUGGGGUGCUCGAGUGGCGAACGGGUGAGUAACACGUGAGUAACCUGCCCUUGACUUUGGGAUAACUUCAGGAAACUGGGGCUAAUACCGGAUAGGAGCUCCCGCUGCAUGGUGUGGGUUGGAAAGUUUCGGCGGUUGGGGAUGGACUCGCGGCUUAUCAGCUUGUUGGUGGGGUAGUGGCUUACCAAGGCUUUGACGGGUAGCCGGCCUGAGAGGGUGACCGGCCACAUUGGGACUGAGAUACGACCCAGACUCCUACGGGAGGCAGCAGUGGGAGAUAUUGCACGAUGGGCGGAAGCCUGAUGCAGCAACGCCGCGUGCUGGAUGACGGCCUUCGGAUUGUAAACCGCUUUCGCCUGUGACGAAGCGUGAGUGACGGUAAUGGGUAAAGAAGCACCGGCUAACUACGUG